Molecule: ribosomal RNA, 1369 nt
Filed under: uncultured bacterium
Lineage: Bacteria
Description: bacterial SSU rRNA
Rfam family: Bacterial small subunit ribosomal RNA
Source: RNAcentral
GACGAACGCUGGCGGCGUGCCUAAUACAUGCAAGUAGAACGCUGAAGAGAGGAGCUUGCUCUUCUUGGAUGAGUUGCGAACGGGUGAGUAACGCGUAGGUAACCUGCCUUGUAGCGGGGGAUAACUAUUGGAAACGAUAGCUAAUACCGCAUAACAAUGGAUGACACAUGUCAUUUAUUUGAAAGGGGCAAUUGCUCCACUACAAGAUGGACCUGCGUUGUAUUAGCUAGUAGGUGAGGUAACGGCUCACCUAGGCGACGAUACAUAGCCGACCUGAGAGGGUGAUCGGCCACACUGGGACUGAGACACGGCCCAGACUCCUACGGGAGGCAGCAGUAGGGAAUCUUCGGCAAUGGGGGCAACCCUGACCGAGCAACGCCGCGUGAGUGAAGAAGGUUUUCGGAUCGUAAAGCUCUGUUGUAAGUCAAGAACGAGUGUGAGAGUGGAAAGUUCACACUGUGACGGUAGCUUACCAGAAAGGGACGGCUAACUACGUGCCAGCAGCCGCGGUAAUACGUAGGUCCCGAGCGUUGUCCGGAUUUAUUGGGCGUAAAGCGAGCGCAGGCGGUUUGAUAAGUCUGAAGUUAAAGGCUGUGGCUCAACCAUAGUUUGCUUUGGAAACUGUCAAACUUGAGUGCAGAAGGGGAGAGUGGAAUUCCAUGUGUAGCGGUGAAAUGCGUAGAUAUAUGGAGGAACACCGGUGGCGAAAGCGGCUCUCUGGUCUGUAACUGACGCUGAGGCUCGAAAGCGUGGGGAGCGAACAGGAUUAGAUACCCUGGUAGUCCACGCCGUAAACGAUGAGUGCUAGGUGUUGGAUCCUUUCCGGGAUUCAGUGCCGCAGCUAACGCAUUAAGCACUCCGCCUGGGGAGUACGACCGCAAGGUUGAAACUCAAAGGAAUUGACGGGGGCCCGCACAAGCGGUGGAGCAUGUGGUUUAAUUCGAAGCAACGCGAAGAACCUUACCAGGUCUUGACAUCCCGAUGUUAUUUCUAGAGAUAGAAAGUUACUUCGGUACAUCGGUGACAGGUGGUGCAUGGUUGUCGUCAGCUCGUGUCGUGAGAUGUUGGGUUAAGUCCCGCAACGAGCGCAACCCCUAUUGUUAGUUGCCAUCAUUCAGUUGGGCACUCUAGCGAGACUGCCGGUAAUAAACCGGAGGAAGGUGGGGAUGACGCCAAAUCAUCAUGCCCCUUAUGACCUGGGCUACACACGUGCUACAAUGGUUGGUACAACGAGUUGCAAGUCGGUGACGGCAAGCUAAUCUCUUAAAGCCAAUCUCAGUUCGGAUUGUAGGCUGCAACUCGCCUACAUGAAGUCGGAAUCGCUAGUAAUCGCGGAUCAGCACGCCGCGGUGAAUACGUUCCCGGGCCU